RNAcentral lists this small nuclear RNA (149 nucleotides) under Hucho hucho (huchen). RNAcentral describes it as "U2 spliceosomal RNA (ENSHHUG00000001624.1)". It matches the Rfam family "U2 spliceosomal RNA", at positions 36 to 185 of the family's 192-position model. From Rfam's summary of the family: U2 is a small nuclear RNA (snRNA) component of the spliceosome (involved in pre-mRNA splicing). Complementary binding between U2 snRNA (in an area lying towards the 5' end but 3' to hairpin I) and the branchpoint sequence (BPS) of the intron results the bulging out of an unpaired adenosine, on the BPS, which initiates a nucleophilic attack at the intronic 5' splice site, thus starting the first of two transesterification reactions that mediate splicing. The record is from RNAcentral. Lineage: Eukaryota; Metazoa; Chordata; Actinopteri; Salmoniformes; Salmonidae.
GNAUCUGUUCUUAUCAGUUUAAUAUCUGAUACGUCCCCUAUCUGGGGACCAUAUAUUAAAUUGAUUUUUGGAAUAGGGAGAUGGAAUAGGGGCUUGCUCCGUCCACUCCACGCAUCGACCUGGUAUUGCAGUACCUCCAGGAACGGUGC